RNAcentral lists this ribosomal RNA (492 nucleotides) under uncultured bacterium. RNAcentral's name for it is "partial 16S ribosomal RNA". It matches the Rfam family "Bacterial small subunit ribosomal RNA", at positions 29 to 507 of the family's 1533-position model. The record is from RNAcentral.
AGUGAACGCUGGCGGUAGGCCUAACACAUGCAAGUCGAACGGCAGCACAGUAAGAGCUUGCUCUUACGGGUGGCGAGUGGCGGACGGGUGAGGAAUACAUCGGAAUCUACUUUUUCGUGGGGGAUAACGUAGGGAAACUUACGCUAAUACCGCAUACGACCUACGGGUGAAAGCAGGGGAUCUUCGGACCUUGCGCGAUUGAAUGAGCCGAUGUCGGAUUAGCUAGUCGGCGGGGUAAAGGCCCACCAAGGCGACGAUCCGUAGCUGGUCUGAGAGGAUGAUCAGCCACACUGGAACUGAGACACGGUCCAGACUCCUACGGGAGGUAGCAGUGGGGAAUAUUGGACAAUGGGCGCAAGCCUGAUCCAGCCAUACCGCGUGGGUGAAGAAGGCCUUCGGGUUGUAAAGCCCUUUUGUUGGGAAAGAAAAGCAGCAGGUUAAUACCCCGCUGUUCUGACGGUACCCAAAGAAUAAGCACCGGCUAACUUCGUG